This 4396-nucleotide long non-coding RNA is filed under the name Homo sapiens (human). RNAcentral's name for it is "non-protein coding lnc-PRR14-7:2". Lineage: Eukaryota; Metazoa; Chordata; Mammalia; Primates; Hominidae. The record is from RNAcentral.
GGGUUCAAAGAAGACCAAGCAGGCAGACGUGUUCGGGGGCCCGCGGGUUCCGAGACUGGAGACUGGACCUUUGGCUGUCCCCACGUGCAUUCUAGGUCAACGGUGCGGUGGCAGAACCCUGGGGCUCUCCCCCGCGGAACUCGGCCCUGGCCGAGGCCCCAACCACGCUAGUAGGAGGAGGCCGAGCAUCCCUCCUCGAAAUCGCGAAAUCCCGGCCCGACAAUGUAGCCACGGAGUCGAAAGCCGCGUGCGAACUUGGCACUCACAAAGCCUAGAUAACCGUCUAUUUUCUCCUGUAAAAUAGGAGGGAUGGACCCCCACAGAUCAUUGUAAAAGGUUCUUACAAAGAAAAAUCCUCCUGGACUGGGCACGGUGGCUCACGCCUGUAAUCCCAGCACUUUGAGCGGAUCACACUUCGAGACCAACCUGACCAACAUGGAGAAACCCCGUCUCUACUAAAUUAGCCGGGCGUAGUGGCGCAUGCCUGUAAUCCCAGCUACUCUGGAGGCUGAGGCAGGAGAAUCGCUUUAACCCGGGAGGCAGAGGUUGUGGUGAGCCGAGAUCGCGCCAUUGCACUCCAGCCUGGGCAACAAGAGCGGAAUUCUGUCUCAAAAAAAAAAAAGAGAGAAAAGAAAAAUCCUGGAAGUCAAGUAAAAAUGUGUGAAGGUGUUUUAUAAAAUAUGAAAUAUCUAGAAUACACAAAUCUAUAGAAGGACUCGGGGAAAGGGGAGUGAAUGCUAAUAAAUACAGAGGUUCUUUCUGGGGUGAUGAAAAUGUACUAGUACUGAUUGUGGCCGCGCUAGCACAAAAAUCCGUUUCAUUGGCCAGACGCUAUGGCCCAGGGAAAAAAAGAAGGACUAGGGGGAAUGGGGAGUGAAUGCUAAUGAAUAUGCAGUUUCUUUUUGUGGUCAUGAAAGUGCACUAAAAUUUUCAUGCUAGCACAAAAAUUGAAUUGUACACUUCAAAUAGGUGUAUUUGUGAUGUGCAUUCUAGCUCCAUAAAACUCAAAAUGUGUGAAAAUUCUUUGUAACUUUACUAAAAAUUGGGGGCACUCUAUAGUUUACAAAACUAUCCCCAUCCAGGCAGGGCACGGUGGUUCACACCUGUAAUCCCAGCACUCUGGGAGUCUGAGGCGGGCGGAUCACCUGAGGUGAGGAGUUCAAGACCAGCCCGACCAACAUUGUGAAACCCCGUCUCUACUAAAAAUACAAAAUUAGCCGGGCGUGGUGACGCAUGCCUGUAAUCCCACUUACUCGGGAGGCUGAGGCAGGAGAAUCGCUUGAACCCGGGAGGCAGAGGUUGCAGUGAGCUGAGAUCGCACCAUUAUACUCCAGCCUGGGCAACAAGAACAAAACUCCGACUCAAAAAAAAAAAAAUUCUCCAUCUAGUCCUCUGAGGUGAGCAGCAUUUUGUUUGUUUGUUUGUUUUGUUUGUUUUGAGAUGGAGUCUCGCUCUUGUUGCCUAGGCUGGAGUGCAAUGAUGCGAUCUCAGCUCACUACAACCUCUGCCUCCCAGGUUCAAGCGAUUCUCCUGCUUCAGCUUCCCGUGUAGCUGGGAUUACAGGUGCGCACUACCAUGCUUGGCUAAUUUUUGUAUUUUUAGUAGAGACAGGGUUUCACCAUGUUGGCCGGGCUAGUCUCGAAUUCCUGACUUCAGGUGAUCCACCCACCUCAGCCUCCCAAAGUGCUGGGAGUACAAGUGUGAGCCACCGAGCCCUGCUUAUUUAUUUAUUUAUUUAUUUAGAGACAGAGUCUCUGUCAUCCAGGCUAGAGUGCAGUGGCACUAUUUCAGCUUACUACAGCCUCCGCCUCCCAGAGCUAAAGCAAUUCUCCUGCCUCAGCCUCCUGAGUAGCUGGGAUUACAGGCAUGUGCCACCACACCCGGCUAAUUUUUGUAUUUUUAGCAGGUGGCGUUUCGCCAUGUUGGCCAGGCUGGUGGUGGCACAAUUGGAGGGCAGAAGGGACAGUAAAAGAUGCCCUAGAAGCUCAGAAGAAGGAAAGACCUCAGAAGGCUUCGACGCAUGGGUGGGGCUGCUGUUGCAGCUGGACCUUCAAGGAUGAUAGAAUCUAAACAAAUGCAGUAGUAAUGAAAGAGGUAAAAGAUGGGAAACCAUGGAAAAUAUACAGAGGUAAUAAUUAGAUGAAGCCCCCACGUGGUGACUUGUGCCUGAAAUCACAAGUGUGCCCAGAAACGGGGCCUCACUGUGUUGUCCAGUCUGGUCUCGAACUCCUGUUUCAAGCAAUCUUCAUGCCUCAGCCUCCUAAAGUGCUGGGAUUACAGGAGUGAGCCACUGCAUCCGGCCACCCUUCAUUUUAAAAGUACAUUUCUGGCCAGGUGCGGUGGCUUAUGCCUGUAAUCCCAGCACGUUGGGAGUCCAAGGCGGGCCAAUCACUUGAGGUCAGGACUUCAAGACCAGCUUGGCCAACAUGAUGAAACCCCAUCUGUACUAAAAAUACAAAAAUUAGCUGGGUGUGGUUGUGUGAACCUGUAAUUCCAGCUGCUCAGGCGGCUGAGGCACGAGAAUAGCUUGAACCCAGGAGACAGAGGUUGCAGCAAGCUGAGAUCGCACCACUGCACUCCAGCCUGGGUGAUAGAGUGAGACUCAGUCUCAAAAAAAAAAAAAAAAAAACCACAUUUCUGCCCAGGCGCAUUGGCUCAUGUCCAUAAUCCAGCGCUUUGGGAGGCUAAGGUGGGUAGAUCACCUGAGGUCAGGAGUUGGAGACCAGCCUAGCCAAAAUGGUGAAACCCCUUCUCUACUAAAUACAAAAAAUUAGCUGGGCGUGGUGGCAGGUGCCUGUAAUCCCAGCUACUCAGGAGGCUGAGGCAGGAGAAUCGCUUAAACUGGGAAGGCGGAAGUUGCAGUGAGCUGAGAUCGUGCCAUUGCACUCCAGCCUGGACAACAGCGAAACUCUAAAAAAAAAAAAAAAAAAUUAGCCGGGCGUGGUGGCAUCCGCCUGUAAUCCCAGCUACUCAGGAGGCUGAGGCAGGAGAAUCACUUGAACCCAGGAGGUAGAGCUUGCAGUGAGCCAAGAUCGCACCAUUGCACUCCAGCCUGGGCAACAAGAGUGAAACUCCAUCGCAAAAAAACAUAAUAGUAAGGCCGGGCGCGGUGGCUCAAGCCUGUAAUCCCAGCACUUUGGGAGGCCGAGGCGGGCAGAUCACAAGGUCAGGAGAUCAAGACCAUCCUGACUAACACGGUGAAACCCCGUCUCUAUUAAAAAUACAAAAAAUUAGCUGGGUGUGGUGGCGGGUGCCUGUAGUCCCAGCUGCUCAGGAGGCUGAGGCAGGAGAAUGGCAUGAACCUGGGAGGCGGAGCUUGCAGUGAGCCGAGAUCGUGCCACUGCACUCUAGCCUGGGCGACAGAGCAAGACUCCAUCUCAAAAAAUAAUAAUAAUAAUAAUAAUAAUAAAUAAAUAAAAUAUAUUUCCCCAAGGUUCAAGCCUCCACCCUCUUUGCCUUGGUUUCAAUAUACUGUAGGCCAGUGAUUCCCAACUGGGGGUGACUGCUCCUAGAGGGCAUUUGGCAAUGUCUGGAGACAUUUUUGUUUGUCACAAAUGGGCAGAAAGACAGGGAGGAGACGUAGGUGCUACUGACAUCUAGUGGGUAGAGGCUAGGGAUGCUGCUAUUAAUACUACAUCCUACAAUGCACAGGACAGCUCUUCACAGGAAUUAUCUGGUCCAAAAUAUUAAUUGCUCUGAGGUUGAGUAACCCCCUUCUAGGCCAACACAUCUAAAUGGCUGCUAAAUAUUUUCACAUGAUUAUUGGGUUAUGAGUUUAUUUUUCCUAGAAACUUUCACUGACUACUCAAUUAGACUUCCCUCCUGUUACUAGCAAUAUUAGACCUAAUGUCCCAAAACAUGGGUGUUAUCUGAGUCCUUCCUUUCCAUGCUUUUCCCUGCCAGUCCUGAGAGUCCAUUAUGUACUGGUAGAUUAGGAUAAAUCAGUUAUUUUAUUUAAAAAUGUUCAUUCUGAGGCCAGGCACAGUGGCUCACGCCUGUAAUCCCAGCACUUUGAGAGGCCCAGGAAGGCAGAUCAUCUGAGGUCAGGAGUUCGAGACCAGCCUGGCCAACAUGGUGAAACCCCAUCUCUACUAAAAAUACAAAAAUUAGCCGGGCAUGGUGGUGGGCACCUGUAAUCCCAGCUACUGGGGAGGCUGAGGCAGGAGAAUCACUUGAACCUGGGAGGCGGAGGUUGCAGUGAGUUGAGAUGGCACUAUUGCACUCCAGCCUGGAUGACAAGAGCAAAACUCUGUCUCAACAACAACAACAACAACAACAACAACAACGGACCGGCGCAGUGGCUCACGCUGGUAAUCCCAGCACUUUGGGAGGCUGAGGCGGGAGGAUCACCUGAGGACAGGAGUUUGAGAGCAGCCUGGCCAACAUGGCGAAACCC